Molecule: ribosomal RNA, 224 nt
Filed under: Testudinibacter crocodili
Lineage: Bacteria; Pseudomonadati; Pseudomonadota; Gammaproteobacteria; Pasteurellales; Pasteurellaceae
Description: Pasteurellaceae bacterium BK121 partial 23S ribosomal RNA
Rfam family: Bacterial large subunit ribosomal RNA
Source: RNAcentral
UGCUGGAAGGUUAAUUGAUGAUGUGAGAGCAUUUGAUCGAAGCCCCAGUAAACGGCGGCCGUAACUAUAACGGUCCUAAGGUAGCGAAAUUCCUUGUCGGGUAAGUUCCGACCUGCACGAAUGGCGUAAUGAUGGCCAGGCUGUCUCCACCCGAGACUCAGUGAAAUUGAAAUCGCCGUGAAGAUGCGGUGUACCCGCGGCUAGACGGAAAGACCCCGUGAACC